This is a long non-coding RNA of Marmota monax (woodchuck), 3558 nucleotides long. RefSeq lists it as uncharacterized. NCBI's taxonomy places the organism in Eukaryota, Metazoa, Chordata, Mammalia, Rodentia, Sciuridae. The transcript has 5 exons. The record is from RefSeq and is a predicted model, not a curated record.
GUUCUCACAAACACCUUCUGGCAGCUCCCUAGGACUGACCCAGAGCAGGUGCUGGAAGGCGCCCUGCGUCUUCCGGCACGAAGUCCUGGCCUCUGCUUGCUCGGGCGGCCGGGUCCGCACCGCUAGGGUCAGCGGGCGCUCCCAGAACACACCCAGCGUACGGAGUGUCUCCUCCCAGAGGCAGCUGAGCCAGUGUAUAGUUGGGGGACCGCGGCGGCUCCUAGGGUUCGAGUGGCCCCGCCCCCACCCCAGCGGCGCCGGCCUCCUGAAGCCUAAGGCGAGGCCAGGCGAGCGCGCAGCGUAGUGAGAAAGCGCCUAGGCCAGCCGGUCACUUGCGUCCCCCGCCCCCCGGGCGGCCGCGGGGAAUCCCUGCUCCUUGGCAUCUCCGGCCUCAGCCUAGGGUCCCCCGCAAGCCGGCGCCGCGGCGAGUCGCGCAGCGGGCGCCGGGAGGGGGGCGGGGAGGAAGCCGGCGCCGGAAUCACAAAGCCGCGAACCCAGCCGGGCGGGGACACUCUCGUAAAACCGAUGCUCUCACGACCGGCGGAAAAGGGGCUCUUGCCCUACGGUCAAUUCCCAGUGGCCUCAGCAUCACCCCCAAUCUUUCCUGCCGGAACGAAUCGUUGCCCACCACUGCUAGGGAAACUGAGGCCAGAAGUCUGAGCUAGGGUAGCUGGGGGAGGGGGGAACGGGUGCGAGUCCAUUUCACCCACCAGUUCUACUCCCGCGCCUGCCACGGUCUCCCUUCUGGCCCCCAGGCCUUUCCCCGACACACGACUGGCCUGCAGCCGGGACCGGGAAGAGGGGGCGCCCUGGUGUGUGACUGACCCAGGUGUGCGGGACCCAGUCAUACAAAUGUACCUGAUGGCAAAGGAAUCAGGGAAACGCAGUCAAGCUCUCUGAUCUCUGCAACACAAAUGAAGAAAGUAGGAACAGAGGAAGAUGCCAAUUGGCCAAUUCAACACCGACUUGGACCCUGUCACUUAGGAGUUCAUUGCCAGUAAAGAGAAGAAGAUUCCUACUGGGCAUGGUGGGACACACCUAUAAUCUGGGCAACAAGCAGAUUCUUUGGACCCCAUUUUCAAAGAUUUUGACUCAGCACAUCCAGCAGGAGGCCCAGAAUCUGAGUUUUCAACAUGUACUUGAAAUGCCUCUGAUGUAGGUAGUUCAGGGACUAUGUUUGAGAAACAUCACUAAACCAUAUGCAGAAUCUGAGGCUUGGAGAAGUGAACUUGCCCAGGAAUUUGCUAUGGAAAGCAGAAUCAGGAUUCAGGAUUCAAGCCCAGACAGUCUGACUCCAGAGUCAGAAUUGAUAAUUACCAAAGUAUCAUUGUUGGGGUGCCGGAAAGCGGGUGUGUGUGUGUGGGGGGGGGUAGGGUAAACUACUACAUUUAAUAGAACAACCAUUGUUAGAUGUUCUCUGGCUUCCCAGUCGAUUAGAACGAGUGUUUUCGCAUGAAGGAAACAUGAUAUUUGGGUACAGUGAGAAUGAGGAACACUCCACCCCAUCUGUCUCGCUCAUGGUUUCUUUCUUGGGAGUAAGGCUGCCUUGAAGCUCAAUGGUAUAGCCUUGCCUAACCCGGGCAAGGCCCUGGGUUCAAUCCCCAGCACCAGGGAGGGCGGCUUGUUCUUUCUAGCGUUGGCAGCCUCUGGCAGGCCCCAAAUAGUGGAACGGCCACAUUAACACGGCCUGGGGCGCCUGCCCCCCAGCGAGGAAGGCUUGGAGCGGCCUCUCUGCAGGCACUGAAGCUCCGGCCCCCAGCAGCCAAGGUUUGGAGGAGGGAGGAGGGGUGCAGCGGUUGCUACGGUUUAUGCUCCUCCAGAGCUUCAGAGCAAGAUUUCCCCAAAAAGCCAUAUUAAAUAAAUAAAAGGAAAUUCAGCAGAUGGGAACAUGAAUCAAUGAAAACUCCCAUAUGAGUGCAAAGAUUUAUGUCAAAAAACAAAACAUCAACAUCUGGGAGCUGCCGCGUCUUCUCUUGGCUGCUCGUUUGGAAUGGAUUCUCGGUGUCGCUUUCCGCCUCUUUCUGGCCCUGGGAGAGGACGAAAAGAAAUAAAGAAUGAAGCCCAUUUAAAAAGAGUCGUUUUUAAUCAGAAAUGAACGCUGCUUUCCCCCUCAACGCUGGAGGAGACGUGAAGCAGGCGCAGGACUACGGGCUCAGUCCUGGGAGUGCGGGAAGGGAGCCCUCUGCCGGAGGCUGCCGGGCGCCCCUCCCUGCCCAACCCGGGGCGGCUCCCGGGUGGGAUGCCUCCAGAUUUCACAGCUGUGGUGGCAGCAGCAGCACCCGUCGCACUGCAACGCGCUGGGCGGCAAGGCGGCGCCUGGUUGGUCACGUGGACGGGAGCCCAAACCAGGCGACUCUGGCCACCUCUACAGGCGGUCGCCACUAGAGAGCACGGAGAGCACGUCUGACCAGGGCAAAGGUAUACCUGGGUUCCUCCAAUCUGGAGGAUAAGCAUCAGCGACAAGUAGCAAAGCUGGAAUGUGCACCAAAGAUGGAAGUCCGCACUUAAUUCUUAGACCCGGUGCAGGAAUUAAGAAGGUAGAUGUUGGGCCCUAACGUGUGGGUUCAAAUCCCAACUACGUUAGCACCAUCUGUGUGAUCCAGAGCAAGUUUACCUUCCCGAGUCAGGAUUUUCCUCACCUGUAAAAUGGGAAUAAUAGCACCAAAAAGUGAAAAGUAACUGAGAAAACAUGCAUGCAAAGUACUUAGCACAGUGCACAUAUACAUAAAAUUGAGUAAAUUUUAACUAGUAUCAUUCAAAAAAAAAAAAAAAAGAAGAAGGCUCUGCAUAACCUGUGCUCCCAGCUCUGCAACCUUCUAGAGGCCACUGAAUUCCUCCAUUAUCGGGUUCUAGUCACAUAAGCCUUGUUUUCCAUCCAGCAAAAGUACCUUCAGCCUCAGGACUUUUGCACAUUCCCUCUGCCUGAAAGAUUUUUUUCACCUUCUGCUUCAACCAAGCCUCUGCGUGUUUGUGUUUUGCUGGGGAUUGAACCCAGGGCCUCUGACAUGCUAGGCAAGUACUCUAACACUGAGCUACAUCCCUAACCUACAGCCUCUCCUUUCUUUGGGCCUACAUUACUUGUACAUGGUGUGGCAAAUUCCUUCCAAUUCUUUCCUCCCCAAAAAGUGAUCUUCCUGUUCUAUGCUGUCACAGCAGCAGGUUUCUCCUUACUUGCAAAUUUCCCAGUUGAAAUGUAGAAUUGGUUUUGUUAAGCAAUUAAUGUCUUUCACCCUUUGGACAGUUCACCAGGCUAGGAGCUCAGUCUGUUGCAUUUGCUGUGGUAUCUCCAGCCUCUAGGACAGUGAGGGACCUAGGCCCUCCAUUUAUGGGGAAUAACCAGAGUGGAUGAUGGGACUCUGAGGCCAAAUGAAUCCUGGGUCUUCUAUAUUGUUUCACCACUUCCUUCCAAUAAACAAGUAUUAAGAUCAUCCAUAUACCAAGUCCUAUGCUGGACACAAGGGACAUAGACAUACAGUUCUUUGACUUAAUGGAGCUUAUCAUCCAAAGGCAACGACAGAUAUGUAAACAGAGGACGAAAUAGAUGGGGUAGAGAUGGCA